GCUCUGAUAGUUCAACGGAUAGAACGUGGGUUUCCUAAACCUAAAAUCUGGGUUCGAUUCCCAGUCGGAGUACCA
RNAcentral lists this transfer RNA (75 nucleotides) under Muribaculaceae bacterium. Its description in RNAcentral is "tRNA-Arg". It matches the Rfam family "tRNA". Rfam says of the family: Transfer RNA (tRNA) molecules are approximately 80 nucleotides in length. Their secondary structure includes four short double-helical elements and three loops (D, anti-codon, and T loops). The record is from RNAcentral. RNAcentral also lists the same sequence under 1 other name. Lineage: Bacteria; Pseudomonadati; Bacteroidota; Bacteroidia; Bacteroidales; Muribaculaceae.